This is a long non-coding RNA of Papaver somniferum (opium poppy), 573 nucleotides long. RefSeq lists it as uncharacterized. The record is from RefSeq and is a predicted model, not a curated record. The transcript has 3 exons. NCBI's taxonomy places the organism in Eukaryota, Viridiplantae, Streptophyta, Magnoliopsida, Ranunculales, Papaveraceae.
GCCACUUAGUAACUGCUAUCUUUGUAAUACCCAGUUAGUCUUGAAAUUUAUAAUGAAUUGAUAGAUACUACAAGGUAGAACUGAAUUCAUAACAUUUAUGGAAUUUGGUCAAAUCGAUUCAUAUAGGAUUCCAGGUUGGGGAUGGAUCUUAUGAAUCAAGAACAUCUACAUCUAUCUCCCAAGAAGAUAUGGAAGAACUAAUGACUUCCAUCAAGAAAGAUCCAUACCUGAAAACUAUUAUAGAAGAAAUUGAGACUGGUGGUCCAACUGUAAUGAUGAGAGAUUACGCAGAAGUUGGCGCAAGCUAUGGGUUUUUGAAUUUUAGGAGGGGACAAUAUGUUUGCUCAGUUGAACAUAAUGCACCAAAUGCUGAUGCAGAAGAUCAAACUGCCAAACAGGCUUGAAGCAAUUGUUCGCAGAUGAAGCUAGGGAUUGUUUUCUUGAACCAUUAGGAUGAUAACUUGUAGAGAAUAUGUUACUAAUUGCAUAGGGAUAGUUUUGAAUUUUCAUAAAUCUUAACAAUUUGGAUCAUCCUCAACUUCAUCAGAAAUUAUGAAUGAUUUCGGUAUGGGA